UUAGCUUUGCCCCGACUUCCGAGCAGGACCUAUUCCGCCGAGCCUGUGGGGCCCCGCAUGACAACAGUGUGUCCAUUGUCCAGAACUCAUCUGAGAAACUGCCACAGGAAGUGCUGCUCUGCUCCAGUCUGGUCACUGAAAAGGGAGCUCCAGGACCUGCAGGAUGGGGGCAGGCUGUGUCAAAGUCACCAAGUACUUCCUCUUCCUCUUCAAUCUGCUGUUCUUUAUCCUGGGUGCUGUGAUCCUGGGCUUUGGGGUGUGGAUUCUUGCAGACAAGAGCAGCUUCAUUUCUGUCCUACAAACCUCAUCCAGCUCGCUGCAGGUGGGGGCAUACGUCUUCAUUGGUGUGGGCGCCAUCACCAUGCUGAUGGGCUUCCUGG
This 380-nucleotide long non-coding RNA is filed under the name Rattus norvegicus (Norway rat). RNAcentral's name for it is "long non-coding RNA NONRATT019487". Lineage: Eukaryota; Metazoa; Chordata; Mammalia; Rodentia; Muridae. The record is from RNAcentral.